This 119-nucleotide ribosomal RNA is filed under the name Pteropus alecto (black flying fox). Lineage: Eukaryota; Metazoa; Chordata; Mammalia; Chiroptera; Pteropodidae. The record is from RNAcentral.
GUCUAUGCCCAUGCUAUCCUGAACAAGCCUGAUCCCAUCUGAUCUUGGAAGCUGAGCAAGAUCGGGCCUGGUUAGUACUUGGAUGGGAGACCACAUAGGAAGACCAGGUGCUGUAGGCG